GCGUGUGUGAAGAAGGCCUGCGGGUUGUAAAGCACUUUCAGUUGGGAGGAAAAGCUAAAGGUUAAUACCCUUUAGUCUUGACGUUACCUUCAGAAGAAGCACCGGCUAACUCCGUGCCAGCAGCCGCGGUAAUACGGAGGGUGCAAGCGUUAAUCGGAAUUACUGGGCGUAAAGCGCGCGUAGGCGGUAUGUUAAGUCGGAUGUGAAAGCCCCGGGCUCAACCUGGGAACUGCAUUCGAUACUGGCACACUAGAGUCUGGUAGAGGGAAGUGGAAUUCCGGGUGUAGCGGUGAAAUGCGU
Molecule: ribosomal RNA, 300 nt
Filed under: uncultured bacterium
Lineage: Bacteria
Description: bacterial SSU rRNA
Rfam family: Bacterial small subunit ribosomal RNA
Source: RNAcentral